GAUGAACGCUGGCGGCGUGCCUAAUACAUGCAAGUCGAGCGAACAGACGAGGAGCUUGCUCCUUCGACGUUAGCGGCGGACGGGUGAGUAACACGUAGGUAACCUACCUAUAAGACUGGGAUAACUUCGGGAAACCGGAGCUAAUACCGGAUAAUAUUUCGAACCGCAUGGUUCGAUAGUGAAAGAUGGCUUUGCUAUCACUUAUAGAUGGACCUGCGCCGUAUUAGCUAGUUGGUAAGGUAACAGCUUACCAAGGCAACGAUACGUAGCCGACCUGAGAGGGUGAUCGGCCACACAGGAACUGAGAGACGGUCCAGACUCCGACGGGAGGCAGCAGUAGGGAAUCGACCGAAAAGGCGAAAGCCUGACAGAGCAACGCCGCGUGAGUGAUGAAGGUCUUCGGAUCGUAAAACUCUGUUAUGAGGGAAGAACAAACGUGUAAGUAACUGUGCACGUCUUGACGGUACCUAAUCAGAAAGCCACGGCUAACUACGUG
This 496-nucleotide ribosomal RNA is filed under the name uncultured bacterium. RNAcentral describes it as "partial 16S ribosomal RNA". It matches the Rfam family "Bacterial small subunit ribosomal RNA", at positions 28 to 507 of the family's 1533-position model. The record is from RNAcentral.